GAGGCCGUUGUCUUAUUGGAUUUCCUGCC
This 29-nucleotide non-coding RNA is filed under the name Rattus norvegicus (Norway rat). The record is from RNAcentral. Lineage: Eukaryota; Metazoa; Chordata; Mammalia; Rodentia; Muridae.